AGUGAACGCUGGCGAUAGGCCUAACACAUGCAAGUCGAACGGCAGCACAGUAAGAGCUUGCUCUUACGGGUGGCGAGUGGCGGACGGGUGAGGAAUACAUCGGAAUCUACUUUUUCGUGGGGGAUAACGUAGGGAAACUUACGCUAAUACCGCAUACGACCUACGGGUGAAAGCAGGGGAUCUUCGGACCUUGCGCGAUUGAAUGAGCCGAUGUCGGAUUAGCUAGUUGGCGGGGUAAAGGCCCACCAAGGCGACAAUCCGUAGCUGGUCUGAGAGGAUGAUCAGCCACACUGGAACUGAGACACGGUCCAGACUCCUACGGGAGGCAGCAGUGGGGAAUAUUGGACAAUGGGCGCAAGCCUGAUCCAGCCAUACCGCGUGGGUGAAGAAGGCCUUCGGGUUGUAAAGCCCUUUUGUUGGGAAAGAAAAGCAGCAGGUUAAUACCCCGCUGUUCUGACGGUACCCAAAGAAUAAGCACCGGCUAACUUCGUG
RNAcentral lists this ribosomal RNA (492 nucleotides) under uncultured bacterium. Its description in RNAcentral is "partial 16S ribosomal RNA". It matches the Rfam family "Bacterial small subunit ribosomal RNA", at positions 29 to 507 of the family's 1533-position model. The record is from RNAcentral.